Molecule: long non-coding RNA, 338 nt
Organism: Puntigrus tetrazona (Sumatra barb)
Lineage: Eukaryota; Metazoa; Chordata; Actinopteri; Cypriniformes; Cyprinidae
Exons: 2
Source: RefSeq, a predicted model, not a curated record
UAUAUAUAUAUAUAUAUAUAUAUAUAUAUAUAUAUAUAUAUAUAUAUAUAUAUAUAUACACAUAUAUACAUACAUACACACACACGUUGCACUGUUCAGGUUUUACUUUGUGGCUCUUUAUUGUUUUGUGCUACUGUAUGUAAAACUCACAUUAACUUACCACAGAAGUUUAAUUUAACUGAAGAUGUUCCCACAAUACUUGAUGGAAAUUAUAACACAGCUCAACUUUCAAUCACCUCUAUUGCUAUGAAAAAUAGAAACACCAAUGUAAUCUGUGUGUUGUAAUUCUGUCGCUGACUCUUGAAUCUGUCAUUAUCUAAUAAAGAUGUUGAUGCUGA